RNAcentral lists this ribosomal RNA (484 nucleotides) under uncultured bacterium. RNAcentral describes it as "partial 16S ribosomal RNA". It matches the Rfam family "Bacterial small subunit ribosomal RNA", at positions 30 to 507 of the family's 1533-position model. The record is from RNAcentral.
AUUGAACGCUAGCGGGAUGCUUUACACAUGCAAGUCGAACGGCAACGCGGACUUCGUUCUGGCGGCGAGUGGCGAACGGGUGAGUAAUGUAUCAGAACUUGCCCAGUAGCUGGGUAUUACUAGGCCAAAGCGUGACUAAUUCCGCAUACGGCCUACUUCGGAAACCGUGGGAUCAUGAGACCUGGCACGAUUGGGGCUCCCGAUGUCGGAUUAUCUAGUUGGUGAGGUAACGUCUCACCACGACGACGAUCCGUAGCUGGUUUGAGUGGACGACCUGCCACCAUGGGACUGAGACAAGGCCCAGAAUCCUACGGGAGGCAGCAGUGGGGAAUUUUGUACAAUGGGGGCAACACUGCUCCAGCAACCCCGCGUGUGGGAUGAAGGCCUUCGGGUUGUAAAGAACUUCUGGCAGGAAAGAAACGGCGCGGGCUAAUACGCCGUGGAACUGACGGUACCUGCAGAAUAAGCACCGGCUAACUACGUG